RNAcentral lists this ribosomal RNA (253 nucleotides) under uncultured bacterium. Its description in RNAcentral is "partial 16S ribosomal RNA". It matches the Rfam family "Bacterial small subunit ribosomal RNA", at positions 524 to 776 of the family's 1533-position model. The record is from RNAcentral.
UACGUAGGGGGCAAGCGUUGUCCGGAAUUAUUGGGCGUAAAGAGCUCGUAGGCGGUUUGGCGAGUCUGCCGUGAAAGUCCGGGGCUCAACUCCGGAACUGCGGUGGAUACGGGCAGACUAGAGUGAUGUAGGGGAGACUGGAAUUCCUGGUGUAGCGGUGAAAUGCGCAGAUAUCAGGAGGAACACCGAUGGCGAAGGCAGGUCUCUGGGCAUUAACUGACGCUGAGGAGCGAAAGCAUGGGGAGCGAACAGG